GGCCCCUUGUUGGUAUUUCCAACGUGAUUACAAACAGGAUGGUCAAACCUCUUUUUUUAGCAAAGACAUUAGAAAUGUUCGAAACAUUUUUAGCAUUGCUUAAGUCAGGUUGUAAUCUCCAACACAACACCAAAAGAUGUGGUUGUACUUAUGAUCAUAGCACUAUAGAAAAUGAAUAGAAGUUAUCCGCAAGGGCAGAUGUAAAAUACAUCCAUUGUAGCAUUUCAGCCAGUAAAGUUUCAGGUAUCGUUAUUUAUAAUUUUACCACUGAAAAGACACUUGGAGGUAUGAAAGCUAUAUCUUACACUUGUGAUAAGAGUUCCACUAGAUCAAUACUCAAAACAG
Molecule: long non-coding RNA, 345 nt
Filed under: Sorghum bicolor (sorghum)
Lineage: Eukaryota; Viridiplantae; Streptophyta; Magnoliopsida; Poales; Poaceae
Description: long non-coding RNA (SBIC_LNC005094)
Source: RNAcentral